UUUAACUUGUACUUUUAUAGCUUAGAAUGGAAGAGAUGCUUAUUUCUUCCUUAAAAUUAAACUGGUGGGAAGUAAAAUCAAGUAAGAAAUGCAACCCAGAACCAUUUUUGGCUCAGAAGUAAAAUGCCACAAGAGGAAGCACGUUGUUGUGUCUCAACCUUCCCAACCUUCUCAUAUGCUCCUGGAACUCUUCUCUUCCCACAUUAUUCAUUUGUCUAAAUCUCUUCACAACCAUAACCCGGCGAGAGGCUCCAAUAGCUGCUUUGAACGUAGAUCCAAAAACCCCGCUCCCCAAUAUUUCAGCAGAGGCUUUCAAUAAGUCAGGUUCACUUUCUGCAGGAGGCACUCCUUUUUCCACGCUGUCCAUAUCCACAGAGGGUCCUUUCUUGUGGACUUGCGAUGCAGGUGGGACGUUUUGGUUUUGUGCUACAGGGUCUUCUUUACGACGCCGAAGGAUGCCAAUAGCCACAAAUAUUGACGCCAGUGCUGCCACUGCAAGUAAUACACAAAGGAUAAUGGUUCCAACUGGUACUUUUGUCGGAGAAGGACAUGGAGGCAUGGGCCCACCGCAGAGUUCGUCGUUGCCUGGAUGGACACAUACGGAAGGAUCAAUUGUAAAUUACAGCUUAAUAGUUAGUUUCAAUCCCCAUACGCUGGCAUCUUGACAAAGAACACCUGCCCAAGAACCACCUGGACAUGGAGGUUUAGCAGGAUCCCAACUCGACAAUGCAGCAACACUGUCACCCAACGAAGCUUUGAACUUGAGGAGGAC
Daucus carota subsp. sativus is the source of this 772-nucleotide long non-coding RNA. RefSeq lists it as uncharacterized. The record is from RefSeq and is a predicted model, not a curated record. NCBI's taxonomy places the organism in Eukaryota, Viridiplantae, Streptophyta, Magnoliopsida, Apiales, Apiaceae. The transcript is spliced from 4 exons.